AGAGUUUGAUCCUGGCUCAGAAUCAACGCUGGCGGCGUGCCUAACACAUGCAAGUCGCACGAGAAAGGGGAGCAAUCCCUGAGUAAAGUGGCGCACGGGUGAGUAACACGUGACUAACCUACCUCCGAGUGGGGAAUAACUGAGAGAAAUCUUAGCUGAUACCGCAUAACACUUACGAGUCAAAGCAGCAAUGCGCUUGGAGAGGGGGUCGCGGCAGAUUAGUUAGUUGGCGGGGUAAUGGCCCACCAAGACGAUGAUCUGUAUCCGGCCUGAGAGGGCGCACGGACACACUGGAACUGAAACACGGUCCAGACUCCUACGGGAGGCAGCAGUGGGGAAUUUUGCGCAAUGGGGGAAACCCUGACGCAGCAACGCCGCGUGGAGGAUGAAAUAUCUUGGUAUGUAAACUCCUUUCGAUGGGGAAGAUUAUGACGGUACCCAUAGAAGAAGCCCCGGCUAACUUCGUGCCAGCAGCCGCGGUAAUACGAGGGGGGCAAGCGUUGUUCGGAUUUAUUGGGCGUAAAGGGUGCGUAGGCGGUUUGGCAAGUCUGAUGUGAAAUCUAUGGGCUCAACCCAUAGUCUGCAUCAGAAACUGCCGGGCUUGAGUAUGGGAGAGGUGAGUGGAAUUUCCGGUGUAGCGGUGAAAUGCGUAGAUAUCGGAAGGAACACCUGUGGCGAAAGCGGCUCACUGGACCAUAACUGACGCUGAUGCACGAAAGCUAGGGGAGCAAACAGGAUUAGAUACCCUAGUAGUCC
RNAcentral lists this ribosomal RNA (756 nucleotides) under uncultured bacterium. Its description in RNAcentral is "bacterial SSU rRNA". It matches the Rfam family "Bacterial small subunit ribosomal RNA", at positions 8 to 796 of the family's 1533-position model. The record is from RNAcentral.